GCCAAGUCGUAAAUAUCAACCCACAACAACAAACGCCAGGGUAUUACGAGCCUAGCUUAAAACCCAAAGGACUUGACGGUGUCCCACCCAACUAGAGGAGCCUGUUUUAUAAUCGAUGAUCCACGCUACACCUAACCAUUUUUUGCCUUUCAGCCUGUAUACCUCCGUCGCAAGCCUACCAUAUUAAUGAACUAUAGUAGACCCAACAGCCUAAACGCUAUAACGUCAGGUCAAGGUGCAGCUUAUAAAAUGGAAACAAUGGGCUACAAUUUCUAAUAUAGAACAAACGAAUUGCUACAUGAAACAUAGUCAUGAAGGCGGAUUUAGCAGUAAACAGGGAAUAAAAAGCCCUAUUAAAUCUGACCCUGGGACGUGUACAAACCGCCCGUCACCCUCUUCAAUUGCCGUUACCUAGUUCAUAACCUAUCAUAGCUUCUUAGAAGAGGCAAGUCGUAACAUGGUAAGUGUACUGGAAAGUGCACUUGGUAUAACAAAAUGUAGCUUAAUAAAGCCUCUCGCUUACACCGAGAAGUUAUCUGUGUAAACCGGAUCACUUUGAGCCAAAAAUCUAGCCUAUUAUACACCUCACCUAAUUUACACCAAAUAAAACAUUUUAAUUCUAUAGUAAAGGCGAUCAAAAUAACACUUAGCGCUUAAGAUAAAGUACCGCAAGGGAAAGUUGAAAUAAAAUGAAAUACCUCAAGCCAACAACAGCAGAGACUUCAACUCG
Molecule: ribosomal RNA, 730 nt
Filed under: Philautus refugii
Lineage: Eukaryota; Metazoa; Chordata; Amphibia; Anura; Rhacophoridae
Description: partial 12S ribosomal RNA
Rfam family: Bacterial small subunit ribosomal RNA (bases 1-498)
Source: RNAcentral